ACAAGCUAUGAAGGGCACAUGGUGGAUGCCUUGGCAUCAAGAGCCGAUGAAGGACGUAGGAGCCUGCGAUAAGCCCUGGGGAGUUGGCAACCAAGCUGUGAUCCGGGGGUGUCCGAAUGGGGAAACCCAGCUGGAGUCAUGUCCAGUUACCCGCGCCUGAAUAUAUAGGGUGUGUGGAGGGAACGUGGGGAAGUGAAACAUCUCAGUACCCACAGGAAGAGAAAACAAUAGUGAUUCCGAGAGUAGUGGCGAGCGAAAUCGGAUGAGGCCAAACCACGUACAUGUGAUACCCGGCAGGGGUUGUGUAUGUGGGGUUGUGGGAUCGCAUGGGUGGGUCUGCCGGCCUACCGCACAGUAAGAAACUCGUGAUGAAGUUGAAGUCCGCUGGAAAGUGGCGCCGUAGAGGGUGAUAGCCCCGUAAGUGUAAGUCGCGAGCUGUGAUGCGUCAUCCCAAGUAACACGGAACCCCUGAAAUUCCGUGUGAAUCUGGCGGGACCACCCGUUAAGCCUAAAUACUCCUUGAUGACCGAUAGCGGACAAGUACCGUGAGGGAAAGGUGAAAAGUACCCCUGGCGGGGAGUGAAAUAGUACCUGAAACCGUGUGCCUACAAUCCGUCGGAGCCUUGCUCACACUUGUGUGACGGGGUGACGGCGUGCCUUUUGAAGAAUGAGCCUGCGAGUUUGCGUUGUGUUGCGAGGUUAACCCGUGUGGGGAAGCCGUAGCGAAAGCGAGUCCGAAUAGGGCGUCUGAGUAGCACGAUCAAGACCCGAAGCGAAGUGAUCUAUCCAUGGGCAGGUUGAAGCGCGGGUAAGACCGCGUGGAGGACCGAACCCACUUAGGUUGAAAACUGAGGGGAUGACCUGUGGAUAGGGGUGAAAGGCCAAUCAAACUUCGUGAUAGCUGGUUCUCCCCGAAAUGCAUUUAGGUGCAGCGUUGCGUGUUUCUUGCCGGAGGUAGAGCACUGGAUAGCCGAUGGGCCCGACCAGGUUACUGACGUUAACCAAACUCCGAAUGCCGGUAAGUGAGAGCGCAGCAGUGAGACUGCGGGGGAUAAGCUCCGUAGUCGAGAGGGAAACAGCCCAGACCAUCAGCUAAGGCCCCUAAGCGGUGACUAAGUGGAAAAGGAUGUGGAGUCGCACUGACAACCAGGAGGUUGGCUUGGAAGCAGCCACCCUUGAAAGAGUGCGUAAUAGCUCACUGGUCAAGUGAUUCCGCGCCGACAAUGUAGCGGGGCUCAAGUCAUCCGCCGAAGCUAUGGCAUUCAUGCAAGCCCAGCACCCACUCGAUGGGUGUUCAGGUGUGUGGAUGGGUAGGGGAGCGUCGUGUCGCGAGUGAAGCGCCGGAGUGAUCCAGGUGUGGAUGCGACACGAGUGAGAAUGCAGGCAUGAGUAGCGAAUCACGUGUGAGAAACACGUGCGCCGAAUGAUCAAGGGUUCCAGGGUCAAGCUAAUCUGCCCUGGGUAAGUCGGGACCUAAGGCGAGGCCGACAGGCGUAGUCGAUGGACAACGGGUUGAUAUUCCCGUACCGGCAAAGUAGCGCCCAUGACGAACCUGGUGAUGCUAACCAUCUGAAACUCAAGCGACCGGACCCUUCGGGGCGAGGCGCUUGAGCGUAGCGUGGGACCCGAACUGGUAGUAGUCAAGCGAUGGGGUGACGCAGGAAGGUAGUCCAACCGUACCGAUGGUUGUGUACGGCUAAGCAUGUAGGGCGAGAUCUAGGCAAAUCCGGAUCUCUGACUUUGAUGUCGGGCUUGAGAUGUGAUGGGGACCCCGUUGGGGGGAAGUGGAUGAUCCUAUGCUGUCGAGAAAAACCUCUAGCGAGCUAUGCGCCGCCCGUACCCCAAACCGACUCAGGUGAUCAGGUAGAGAAUACUAAGGCGAUCGAGCGAACCACGGUUAAGGAACUCGGCAAAAUGCCCCCGUAACUUCGGGAGAAGGGGGGCCCGGAACGUGAACACCCUUGCGGUGGGAGCGGGAAGGGCCGCAGAGACCAGGCCCAAGCGACUGUUUACUAAAAACACAGGUCCGUGCGAAGUUGUAAGACGAUGUAUACGGACUGACUCCUGCCCGGUGCUGGAAGGUUAAGAGGACCUGUUAGGUAGCAAUACCGAAGCGGAGAAUUUAAGCCCCAGUAAACGGCGGUGGUAACUAUAACCAUCCUAAGGUAGCGAAAUUCCUUGUCGGGUAAGUUCCGACCUGCACGAAUG
RNAcentral lists this ribosomal RNA (2208 nucleotides) under hydrothermal vent metagenome. Its description in RNAcentral is "bacterial LSU rRNA". It matches the Rfam family "Bacterial large subunit ribosomal RNA", at positions 1 to 1998 of the family's 2925-position model. The record is from RNAcentral.